GUGGAACCUGUUCUCGGACGCGCAUCUGUUCGCCGGCUCCACACACUCAUCCUUCUGCUUCCAUAGACUGAAGCAGAUUGCUGUUUAGUCAAACCUUCCCUAAUCCUCUAAACGUUACCUAAUUGUAAACUGCUCUGUGAAACGAGGACAAACAGACGUUCCCAACGACCAGAAACACACAACUGAAAAAUACCCUGAGUGACAAGAGUGGCUUUUAACCUCAGACCCCGAGCUG
Non-coding RNA from Danio rerio (zebrafish), 235 nucleotides. The record is from Ensembl. Lineage: Eukaryota; Metazoa; Chordata; Actinopteri; Cypriniformes; Danionidae.